RNAcentral lists this long non-coding RNA (784 nucleotides) under Gallus gallus (chicken). The record is from RNAcentral. Lineage: Eukaryota; Metazoa; Chordata; Aves; Galliformes; Phasianidae.
GCCGUGCUGCAGGCGGAAGCGCUGCACGAAGAGCCGGGCCCCGCAGGCCUCGUAGACGAAGCGGGGGCUGGAGCCCAGCUCCCUGUCCCGCAGGGCGCGGAUGGCCUGCCAGCGGGGCUGCGGCAGCGCCGUGGUCUCCGAGGACACCCAGUCCUCCAGCGCCUGCUCGUCGUCCGAGGAGUCUCGCUCGUGGUUGGCACGUUUGCGCUGAGCGCGGCGGUGGGAUCGCUGCUCCUCCUCUUCGUCCUCCUCCUCCUCCUCCUCCGAGUGCGAGCAGUCGAGGGUGCGCGUCUCCUCGUUGAUGGAGUAGUGGCCCGUGUCGUCCAUGCUGUCAGAGUCCUUCUCCUCCCCCGAGCUCUCGGUGUCGGUGUCGCGGCUCUCCGUGCUGGUGCGGUUGGGCCCCACGUCGUCUCCCGUGAGGCUCAGGCUGAGGUCGGACGCCUCCACCUCGAUGCCGGAGGAAAUUUCUCUGCCCUCCUCGGCUGACAUCUCCUCUGGGCUGCUGGACAGGCUGCCGUUCGCGAUGUCCGUCUUUCCGUCCAUGCUGUUCCCUUUAUCCGACAUCUCCUUUCCCACUGUGUGCUUCCCCUGCGAGCAGCGGCGGAGUUCUGCUGGCAGAGGAAGGGUUAAGGCCUGGCGGGGUCGGGAACCGGGGACAGCCGUCCCAGCACCGCAGCGCCACGGGGACAACAGUGACGGUCCCUUUUGCUGCCGUUCCCGGCCAACGCUCAGGCGCAAGCCCCGCGCUCCCCAACUGCUCCCCCUCCGCCGGCCCCGAGCCCAA